UACGAAGGGUGCAAACGUUGCUCGGAAUUACUGGGCGUAAAGCGCGUGUAGGCGGCUAUGCAAGUCGGAUGUGAAAGCCCUCGGCUCAACCGGGGAAGUGCACCCGAAACUGCAAAGCUAGAGUCUCGGAGAGGAUCGUGGAAUUCUCGGUGUAGAGGUGAAAUUCGUAGAUAUCGAGAGGAACACCGGUGGCGAAGGCGGCGAUCCGGACGAUGACUGACGCUGAGACGCGAAAGCGUGGGGAGCAAACAGG
This 253-nucleotide ribosomal RNA is filed under the name uncultured bacterium. Its description in RNAcentral is "partial 16S ribosomal RNA". It matches the Rfam family "Bacterial small subunit ribosomal RNA", at positions 524 to 776 of the family's 1533-position model. The record is from RNAcentral.